GGCAGGCUUAACACAUCGCAAGUCGAGGGGUAUGGUUUUCGGACCAAGAGACCGGCGCACGGGUGCGUAACGCGUAUGCAAUCUACUUUUGCAGAGGGAUAGCCCAGAGAAAUUUGGAUUAAUACCUCAUAGUAUAGUACUUUGGCAUCAAGGAACUAUUAAAAGUCACAACGGCAAAAGAUGAGCAUGCGUCCCAUUAGCUAGUUGGUAAGGUAACGGCUUACCAAGGCUACGAUGGGUAGGGGGUUCUGAGAGGGAGAUCCCCCACACUGGUACUGAGACACGGACCAGACUCCUACGGGAGGCAGCAGUGAGGAAUAUUGGACAAUGGGCGCAAGCCUGAUCCAGCCAUGCCGCGUGCAGGAUGACGGUCCUAUGGAUUGUAAACUGCUUUUAUACAGGAAGAAACACUCCGACGUGUCGGAGCUUGACGGUACUGUAAGAAUAAGGAUCGGCUAACUCCGUG
This 466-nucleotide ribosomal RNA is filed under the name uncultured bacterium. RNAcentral describes it as "bacterial SSU rRNA". It matches the Rfam family "Bacterial small subunit ribosomal RNA", at positions 41 to 507 of the family's 1533-position model. The record is from RNAcentral.